RNAcentral lists this ribosomal RNA (656 nucleotides) under Staphylococcus capitis. Its description in RNAcentral is "bacterial SSU rRNA". It matches the Rfam family "Bacterial small subunit ribosomal RNA", at positions 56 to 694 of the family's 1533-position model. The record is from RNAcentral. Lineage: Bacteria; Bacillati; Bacillota; Bacilli; Caryophanales; Staphylococcaceae.
UGCAAGUCGAGCGAACAGACGAGGAGCUUGCUCCUCUGACGUUAGCGGCGGACGGGUGAGUAACACGUGGAUAACCUACCUAUAAGACUGGGAUAACUUCGGGAAACCGGAGCUAAUACCGGAUAACAUGUUGAACCGCAUGGUUCAACAGUGAAAGACGGUCUUGCUGUCACUUAUAGAUGGAUCCGCGCCGCAUUAGCUAGUUGGUAAGGUAACGGCUUACCAAGGCAACGAUGCGUAGCCGACCUGAGAGGGUGAUCGGCCACACUGGAACUGAGACACGGUCCAGACUCCUACGGGAGGCAGCAGUAGGGAAUCUUCCGCAAUGGGCGAAAGCCUGACGGAGCAACGCCGCGUGAGUGAAGAAGGUCUUCGGAUCGUAAAACUCUGUUAUUAGGGAAGAACAAAUGUGUAAGUAACUAUGCACGUCUUGACGGUACCUAAUCAGAAAGCCACGGCUAACUACGUGCCAGCAGCCGCGGUAAUACGUAGGUGGCAAGCGUUAUCCGGAAUUAUUGGGCGUAAAGCGCGCGUAGGCGGUUUUUUAAGUCUGAUGUGAAAGCCCACGGCUCAACCGUGGAGGGUCAUUGGAAACUGGAAAACUUGAGUGCAGAAGAGGAAAGUGGAAUUCCAUGUGUAGCGGUGAAAUGCGUAGA